CUUUUCCCGCACCGGUGGCCGGACUCUGCAUGAGUCACCGCCUGCCUGCAAGCCCAGAGCUCGCCGCACCCCCCUGCCUCUCCGCACCGUCCCACAGGCUGUGACCCUCCACCCAGCCAUAGACGGUUCUGCUCUUGGCACAAAGGAGGGCUUCUUAGCCGGGAAUAUGGCUGCCCGGGAGGGGCGACUUCUGUGCUUGUUUUUCCUUCCUGGCACUGAAAACAAGCACAUCCACCCAACAAAUAAAGACGCGGUCAAUGAAAGCAGCUGUGUUUCAAGGGGAGACAGGGAGCAAGCCAAGGAAUAAAUGAAAAGACCCAGUGACAAAAUGCCCAUUCAUCGGGUUCACUCGGCAAACAUUUACUGAAGCAUCUGUGUGCCAGGCACUGUCCUGAGUGCUGGGAAGACACAAAGAUGCCCUUCAGAACGAUGACCCCCGCCUCGCCCUCCGCUGGAACCGGGAGGCAGACACACACAUAAAUACGACACAGUCAACCGUCCCCAGUUCACAGCAUCUAAAGGAGCUAGGAAUGCAUGGGAUGCUUAUGGAAUGUGCGAGAACACGGAGACAAAGUCUCACUGUGUUCCCAGGCUGAUCCCCAACUCCUGAGCUCAAGCCAGCCACCAGCCUUGGCCUCCCAAAGUGCUGGGAUUACAGGCGUGAGCCACCACGCCGGGCCCAGAUGAACAGUCUUAUGAAUCAAUUUCAUUUCCAAGAGCCCUGUUGGCCUAGGUGACAGAGCAAGACUCCAUCUCCAAAAAAAAAAAAAAAAAUUAAAAGGCGCCAGAGAGCUGCUUUCUCCUUCAGCCACAUAAGGGCACAACAACAAGGUGCCACGAAGCAAAGAGCCCUCACCAGACAUGGAAUCUGCGGGCGCCUUCUCAGCCUCCAGAACUAUCAGCAAUAAAUUUCUGUUGUUUAUAAAUUCCCCAGUCUAAGAUACUUUGUUAUAGCAACCUAAAUGGACUGAGACUGACACCCAUUGUGUAAUAUAACACUGAUGAUAACUGUUCCAAUCACUGGGCACCUACCCUGUGUCAGGAACUGCAUUUAUGAGCUUUAGGUGUUGACAGUAACCAUAUCGGGAGGUAUUAAUAUUCCUUGUUUCCGCCUUUUUUUUUAGUGUGCCAUUUGAUUCCAAAUGCUAUGCUCUUCCCACUUGGCUCUUCUGUUUUGUUUGUGCAAUCUGGGUUCGUCUCGGAAGUGUGUAUUUAAGGUUCUCUCCAGGUUAGAGAGAAUGUGGCAGCAUGCCUGAUGAUGUCACCCACUGCUUCUGUUAUACCCUGCCCAGCUUACCCCUUCCCUCUGGGCCUUUUAUAGGACCUUGUAUUUAGUCCAACAACAACAAUAGCACAACACCCAUAAACAAAACACCUCUGCAUAUAAUACAAUGUACUUGCCUACUUGCUGACUGAAAGAGCUCCCACAGCCUCCCAGGUGCUGCCCUGCGCUUGGAGCAAAGCCUAUCUGAGGCUGAAGAAUGAGUAAGUCACCACCUGAAUCCUGCCCUCCAGCCAGCUCUCUUCAUCAUGGAAAUUCUUGGAGCAGAGUGGAAGGGAACCUGAGAGGAGAGAUGGCACCUUCACUGAUUCCUCCUUUAUCUUUCCAGACUUCAUGGCUGAGACAGAGCUGAGAGCAGAGAAAACAGACUCAUAAAAUCCUGGCAGAAUCUUUCCAUUCUAAUAGCUCAAGCUUCCCCUAUUGCACAGAAGAAAUGCAAGCCUCUUCCCUUCUGGAAUCGCACCAUGGGCAGUACUCCAGAGAGUGGAAACUCUCUGACACCAAACAAGGGACAAUUCAAGAAUAAAUGGCACCUGAGUCCCAGGAGGGCAAAGCAGAGUGAGAAAAGAAUUAGUGAGUGAUGUGGAAAGGACAACAUCCUUUCAUCCCAGAGUCAAAGCCCCGGCAAGCCUCCAGGCCUCAGCGCUCCCUCUGUCUUACAGCACAAAAACACCUUUUGUGGAUGGGAAAGGACUCAGGACGUGAUCAGACUGGCCUGCUGAGAGUAUCAUAGGGAAGUGCUGGAUGGGUUCAUGGAAAGAAGUAUACACAGAUGAGGAACAGCAGAAAGGCAUGAGAAAAGAGGAAGGUAUGGAAAAGAGUGAAAUUGGCAUAAAAAAUCCAAUAAAGGGCAACGAGCAGGAAACAACAAAAACAUGGGAAACUGCCGACCUGAGGAAUCGCGCUCUUCUAACUUUACAGCUUCACCUGCCGUGUUUGCUCCUGGAGGACUGAGACUUUUGUCUGAUUCGUCUGCUGCUGUCUUCCCGAUGCCUAGAACACUGCCUGAUGCACGGGAAGUAUUUGUCAGAUACAUCCCAUGGCUUCUAAUGCCAUUUGCAAGGAUGAAAGCUGGGUGUGCCCGGCUGUACGGCAAUACUUCCAAAGGCCUGUAGGACUCCCCAGUGACUGUCCCAUUCACCAGGAGGAGGACUGCAGUCACCUGCAUUGUCCUGGGAAGGUCAGCCAGGCCUUUUCCCAAUGUCUGUCUGGGAAAAGCCCCGGUGUAGUCUGCUCGGUCCUACACCCAGAAUCACGGGGGCUUCAGGAGCAGGCAUUACGAGGCAAGGAGUAGCUUCUCCCCCUCACCUCCCACUCAGCAGAACGCACUAGCCCUGUGCUCUUCUGAUCCUGAAGGCAGCUGAGUCUGAAAAGUUCCUGUACCUUUAAAGGUACUAGAGGCAGUGUGGUGCCCACUCAGGAACUGCAUGAUUUAAAUAGGUUUCUAGGAUAAAGGCAACUCGUAGCACAAAGGAACAAGUCCCAGGGAGUGGCAUUCCAGAUCAUUUGAUUCCUGAGCGAAGGAAUUAUUAUGGUGUGGAGGUGGGGACCUCCUUACUACAUUCCAAAUUGCAAUAAGGUUGUAAGGGUUUUCUCUUCCAUUCUGAAGUACUUUGACAAUAGUUUUGAACUUCAAAAAUGUUUAUUAAAGGUGUUUUCACAGCAGUUUCAUAAUGUUUAAUUUGUUAAUUACUGGAAUUGAUGCUAAAUAAAACAGGCAAGUAAUACUUCAGAUGGCUUCAUCUUCAGAGUCUUCUUCAUGUGUGACUCAAAAUGCACAAUUUUGGCCGGGCACAGUGGCUCACGCCUGUAAUCCCAGCACUUUGGGAGGCUGAGACAGGCGGAUCACCUGAGGUCAGGAGUUUGAGACCAGUUUGGCCAACAUGGUGAAACCCCAUCUCUACUAAAAAUACAAAAAUUAGAUGGGCAUGGUGGUGUGUGCCUGUAAUCCCAGCUGCUUGGGAAGCUGAGGCAGGAGAAUUGAUUGAACCCAAGAGGCGGGGCUUGCAGUGAGCCGAGAUCCCGCUCCAGCCUGGGCAACAAGAGCGAGACUCCGUCUCAAAAAAAGAAAAAAAAAGCACAAUUUCAGGACAGCCUAAGCAAAUAAAAAAUGGGAAAUGGAAAUGGAUUCGAAGCAGGGAGGACGUUCCGCCCACUGUCACACCGAAGGAAUGGUGGAGGCUGUGAGUCCUCCGCCCACUGUCACACCGAAGGAUGGUGGAGGCUGUGAGUCCUCCUGUAAGCCGCCGCUGGAGAAGGGGCAGCUCUGGAACCUGACGACAUUCUCCUAUCUUGCAUGAGGUGGAGACAAAGAGUCCUUCUGCGCUGGGACAGGAUGAGGGCGAAGUGGUGACUUCAGGUCAGAAGCAGAGCCUUGGGGACCUCUGAUUCUCAAGGGCGAGCUCCCUCCAGAACCCCAAGAGAUGGCCCUGACUGCAUGGGAAAGCGUGUCUCACCAUUGCAAUGUUCUCUAAGUCUGGAGGAGGCGGAGCCCAGUGAGAAUGACAGGCAGACCGCAAGGAGGCCCGGAAGCCCCCCAUGGCGAGGAUGCAUCCAAGUGUAUUCUGUAGGAGUGACCAGUGGCCACGUGGGUAGUGGGCAGAGCUUGUUUUCCUCCAAUAUCAGCGUACAGAGCAGGGGAGCCUGGUGAAGGUUUCUCUCUGAAAUCAUGGAUUCAGCUGUAUUAGUUUCUAUCCAAGGCUGGCAUAGCUCACCUUCCACUCCAGCAAUGACCUCGGGCCAGCUGUCACGAGCCUUCUCACCACGAGGAUGGUCUGGGGUGGUGAGAUCUCACUGUUGGCCAUAAUUCAUUCAACAUUUCUUCACUUCUCUGCUUGUAAGUUUUCAUUUCCUCUGCAGCUGGUAGCUUCUGUCAUUUCUUUUCCUAUUUAUACCAGUCCUGAAUCAGCUUCUUUUUCAGAACCAUGCAUUUCUCUCGGUAGAGGUCG
RNAcentral lists this long non-coding RNA (4230 nucleotides) under Homo sapiens (human). RNAcentral's name for it is "HSALNT0100063". Lineage: Eukaryota; Metazoa; Chordata; Mammalia; Primates; Hominidae. The record is from RNAcentral.